GCGGGAAUAGCUCAGUUGGUAGAGCAUCAGCUUCCCAAGCUGGUGGUCGCGGGUUCGAGUCCCGUUUCCCGCU
RNAcentral lists this transfer RNA (73 nucleotides) under Candidatus Krumholzibacteriia bacterium. RNAcentral describes it as "tRNA-Gly". It matches the Rfam family "tRNA". From Rfam's summary of the family: Transfer RNA (tRNA) molecules are approximately 80 nucleotides in length. The record is from RNAcentral. Lineage: Bacteria; Candidatus Krumholzibacteriota; Candidatus Krumholzibacteriia.